CAUCUAUUAUUAAGUGGGGGAUGCGCAAUGAGUGUUGAUGCUGCAAUUGCUGGGGUCUGAUCAGUAAUGAGAUAGACAUGGGCUCAUGGGACUCACAUGGUGUUGUCUUCCGAAGCAUUACCAAGAAUUCCGUGUCAAAUACUUGAAAGAAUGGUUUUCCUACCUUGCCGACAAAAUGAACCGACUAAGGACCUACUCAGAUUUGGAAGAUUUGGAUCCAUUAAAAGCUUCUUCCUAGUAAAGAUUUUUAUUACUUCACUAGUGACAAUAGAGGAAACCUUUAGAGACAUACAAUCUGCCAUGCAAUGAUAGGGAACAAAUAACAUGGGUGACUUUGACCUCCUAUUUCAUACAGACUUCACAUAAAACUUGUAAGACAAACCCUUGUGAAGAGCGCCUGAAGUGUGUCCUACAGGCUACAACAACUCCUCAUCUGAACCCAACUUGUUGCAUUUUAUCCAGGUUUGUUGUCUAUGCCGUGCUGCAAUCAAAUAGUUCCAUAGGGUUGAAGACAAUAUUCAGCUUGACAGCUCACAAAGUCUCUGGUCAAUGUCAGAAAGCUAUUCAAACUACAAGAAAGUUCAAUGAAGGCUUCUUCUGCACAUGGGACUGCGAGACUACCUCUUGGAUGAUCAAAGCCAAACUCCUCUUCCAGCCUGAUUUAUCAAUUCCUAAAUCUGCUUAGUCUGAACAAGUGCAGGUACUCACAAACACAUAACUCUUAUGAACUGGGAAAAGUUGCAAGGGUAGAAUAUGUUCAUCUCUAAGGCUUCUUAAUAGCUGAUGCAAAAAAUAUAUAAAUGAAAUAGGAGUUUGUAGUCCUCUUACUCUUAUCUCAAAAUGGUCAAAAAGCUAUUUGAUUUUACAUUCAGUCAUUUGUAUAUUUGUUUCCAUAUACAUGACUGGAGUUUAGAGUAUUUGAAAAUUUAUUGAAUUUUACCAAUGUUGAUUAACCAUUAAAAUAUAAAACCAAACAAGUAACAAGAA
Gossypium arboreum is the source of this 987-nucleotide long non-coding RNA. RefSeq lists it as uncharacterized. The transcript has 2 exons. Lineage: Eukaryota; Viridiplantae; Streptophyta; Magnoliopsida; Malvales; Malvaceae. The record is from RefSeq and is a predicted model, not a curated record.